UACAGAGGGUGCGAGCGUUGUCCGGAAUCACUGGGCAUAAAGGGCGCGUAGGCGGGUUUCCAAGUCGGUUGUGAAAUCCCUCAGCUCAACUGAGGAACUGCAUCCGAUACUGUUUGUCUUGAGGACGGGAGGGGAGAGUGGAACUUCUGGUGAAGCGGUGAAAUGCGUAGAUAUCAGAAGGAACGCCGGUGGCGAAAGCGACUCUCUGGCCCGUAUCUGACGCUGAAGCGCGAAAGCGUGGGUAGCAAACGGG
RNAcentral lists this ribosomal RNA (253 nucleotides) under uncultured bacterium. RNAcentral describes it as "partial 16S ribosomal RNA". It matches the Rfam family "Bacterial small subunit ribosomal RNA", at positions 524 to 776 of the family's 1533-position model. The record is from RNAcentral.